AGCAGCCAUUUCUUUAGUUGCAGUAGAGAAGAAUGUGAUUUCUAACCUUAACAGACCUUCCUCUACCGCAGACAAUUACUCAGAAAUGCACAGCACAGCAGAUUCAGCUGGACCUGUAAUAGUAAUAAGGCGAUCCUCUGAAAAAAGCUCAGCUUCUGGUGGCUCAAGGUCUGACUGCCUGCAAACACACCCAGGUGAGCUUAGAGAACCAGACAGGGCUGCAAGGAAAUGACCCAGCAGGAAAGAAUCCAGGAGGCAUCCACAAGCUGACAAGCGGGCAGGCCAGCAGGGAGGAAGCUGCGUCUGAUGUUGGAUACUGAAAUGACAGCCUGAAGGAAAAAAGCCCCCAGAAGCAGUCGCCGAUGGCAGCAAAGAAGAUGACCAGCUUUAGCACUUCCACUGGCUUUCUGCCAAAGGGUUCAACUUCAGUCCAAUGGAGAAUAAACCCAGUGGGCGCUUCAGACCGCUCCUUGGGCUCGGUAGGACAGGCCCACUCGCACAUGGGCAGGCAGGGGCUGAUCGCGCAGUGCAGGCCGACAGCAGCCAAGCUGGGAGGCAGCGGCAGCACACGGGUCAGCCGACUGGUCCCCCGGUCACCUUUUUACACCUUUUGACGUCUUUAGCUAUGUGACGUCUUUAGCUGUCUCUAGGUCAAAUGCCCCAAAGAGUGUAUUUGUUUUCUUAUUUCCACGUCACGGGCCUCGGCUCACCAUCUUUCUAACAGCGUUUUUUCCGAGCACUCCCUGUAGCACCAAUCCCCAAACCACGGGGUCCGGAAAUUGGCGGCAUUUGGCAAACAGCACCGGGAACCACAGUUAAGAGAAAAUGCCAAAUUUGUUUCUUUUGCAUGGCUUGCAAUAAAGUCUGAGAGUUCUCGGUGCUCUUGUGGUGAAAACCACUGCUUUUGGCAUUGUUUAAUACACAUUAAUACAAUCACAGGAAGUGAUCGGUUGCCUGCACACAAACUUUGUGGUUAAUCUUUGAACAUUAGCCAUAGCGCUAUCUUAAAGCCUGUCUCACUACAAUACAGACUUCUUCCCCUUACAUGCUUUACUGCAAUUAUAUUGCCUACACUGACUAUUAACUAAAUUACUACUGGACUCACCAGUCCAGCUGGUGAAGGAUAAGUCCUCACAUGUAAGCCAAAUAUUGUCCAAUUUAUUCUUUCCCUUAAUGAGAAUUUCAAAUCCACAAGCAAGGAGUUCGAACAGCUAAAUGGACGCUGGAAACUUGAGUAUUAGCAUCAAACAUAUCCAACUUACUACAUUGUUCUCCUAAAGCAUGUCUUGGACCAGUACUCUAAGAAAAAGGCAUUUUACAAAGCAGAAAUAGACUGAGGCUCAACAGCAGUGCAAAGAACCCAAGGCUGAAAUACGAGGGGUUUUUUUACACAUGUAAGAUCAGAUACACAGUCAAAAUUUAAGUGGAAAAGCUGGACUUGUGAGCAUCAAAUUCACAGUACAAAAUGUUGUACUAACUGCUUGUCACUGAUACACUAUCCUUCUGUUCUUUGUUAAAUUAAUCUAAGUUAAUUUAGAAAGUACAUGAAAUAAAAGACUGGUCAAGUGGGCAUGACUUACCUCAAAAAGAUUUCUAACAAUUCAUAUGAUUAUUACAAUUAUUGCUUCUUUUACUGUAGGUCUGUUGAAAAGCCUGCUGUAAAAACUAGGUAACAAAACGCAUACAGCACUGACUGAUAAUAGAUAUUGCCCACAUCAGUUUAUUUGUAGCUUAACAUUUGGAUGAUGUGGUAAAUGUGGGGUUGGACUAAAU
Long non-coding RNA from Cygnus atratus (black swan), 1773 nucleotides. RefSeq lists it as uncharacterized. The record is from RefSeq and is a predicted model, not a curated record. NCBI's taxonomy places the organism in Eukaryota, Metazoa, Chordata, Aves, Anseriformes, Anatidae. The transcript has 3 exons.